AACGAAGGGGCCAUCNUUAACACAUGCAAGUCGAGCGAACAGACCAGGAGCUUGCUCCUUUGACGUUAGCGGCGGACGGGUGAGUAACACGUGGGUAACCUACCUAUAAGACUGGGAUAACUUCGGGAAACCGGAGCUAAUACCGGAUAAUAUUUCGAACCGCAUGGUUCGAUAGUGAAAGAUGGUUUUGCUAUCACUUAUAGAUGGACCCGCGCCGUAUUAGCUAGUUGGUAAGGUAACGGCUUACCAAGGCGACGAUACGUAGCCGACCUGAGAGGGUGAUCGGCCACACUGGAACUGAGACACGGUCCAGACUCCUACGGGAGGCAGCAGUAAGGAAUCUUCCGCAAUGGGCGAAAGCCUGACGGAGCAACGCCGCGUGAGUGAUGAAGGUCUUCGGAUCGUAAAACUCUGUUAUUAGGGAAGAACAUACGAUGUAAGUAACUGUGCACGUCUUGACGGUACCUAAUCAGAAAGCCACGGCUAACUACGUGCCAGCAGCCGCGGUAAUACGUAGGUGGCAAGCGUUAUCCGGAAUUAUUGGGCGUAAAGCGCGCGUAGGCAGUUUUUUAAGUCUGAUGUGAAAGCCCACGGCUCAACCGUGGAGGGUCAUUGGAAACUGGAAAACUUGAGUGCAGAAGAGGAAAGUGGAAUUCCAUGUGUAGCGGUGAAAUGCGCAGAGAUAUGGAGGAACACCAGUGGCGAAGGCGACUUUCUGGUCUGUAACUGACGCUGAUGUGCGAAAGCGUGGGGAUCAAACAGGAUUAGAUACCCUGGUAGUCCACGCCGUAGACGAUGAGUGCUAAGUGUUAGGGGGUUUCCGCCCCUUAGUGCUGCAGCUAACGCAUUAAGCACUCCGCCUGGGGAGUACGACCGCAAGGUUGAAACUCACAGGAAUUGACGGGGACCCGCACAAGCGGUGGAGCAUGUGGUUCAUUCGAAGCAUCGCGAAGAACCUUACCAAAUCUUGACAUCCUUUGACAACUCUAGAGAUAGAGCCUUCCCCUUCGGGGGACAAAAUGACAGGUGGUGCAGGGUUGUCGUCACCUCCCGUCCCGAGAAGUUUGGGUUAAUUCCCGCAACAAGGCCACCCUUUAGGUUAUUUGCCCCCAUUAAAUUGGGGGCCCCCAAAUUGAAUGGCGGGGGAAAACCCAAGAGAAGGGGGG
RNAcentral lists this ribosomal RNA (1166 nucleotides) under bacterium. RNAcentral describes it as "bacterial SSU rRNA". It matches the Rfam family "Bacterial small subunit ribosomal RNA", at positions 32 to 1177 of the family's 1533-position model. The record is from RNAcentral.